This 371-nucleotide ribosomal RNA is filed under the name uncultured bacterium. RNAcentral describes it as "bacterial SSU rRNA". It matches the Rfam family "Bacterial small subunit ribosomal RNA", at positions 527 to 896 of the family's 1533-position model. The record is from RNAcentral.
AGAGGUCCCGAGCGUUGUUCGGAUUUAUUGGGCGUAAAGGGUGCGUAGGCGGCGGAGUAAGUUGGGUGUGAAAUCCCGGGGCUUAACCUCGGAAUGGCAUUCAAUACUGCUUCGCUCGAGUACUGGAGAGGAGGCUGGAAUUUACGGUGUAGCAGUGAAAUGCGUAGAUAUCGUAAGGAAGGCCGGUGGCGAAAGCGAGCCUCUGGACAGUUACUGACGCUGAUGCACGAAGGCCAGGGGAGCAAACGGGAUUAGAUACCCCGGUAGUCCUGGCAGUAAACGGUGCGCGUUUGGUGUGGGGGGAUUCGACAAUCUCCGCGCCGGAGCUAACGCGUUAAACGCGCCGCCUGGGAAAUACGGUCGCAAGAUUA